UACGAAGGGGGCUAGCGUUGCUCGGAAUCACUGGGCGUAAAGCGCACGUAGGCGGAUAUUUAAGUCGGUGGUGAAAUCCUGGAGCUCAACUCCAGAACUGCCUCCGAUACUGAAUGUCUUCGAGUCCGGGAGAGGUGAGUGGAACUGCGAGUGUAGAGGUGAAAUUCGUAGAUAUUCGCAAGAGCACCAGUGGCGAAGGCGGCUGACUGGUCCGGUUCUGACGCUGAGGCGCGAAAGCGUGGGGAGCAAACAGG
RNAcentral lists this ribosomal RNA (254 nucleotides) under uncultured bacterium. Its description in RNAcentral is "partial 16S ribosomal RNA". It matches the Rfam family "Bacterial small subunit ribosomal RNA", at positions 524 to 776 of the family's 1533-position model. The record is from RNAcentral.